RNAcentral lists this ribosomal RNA (497 nucleotides) under uncultured bacterium. Its description in RNAcentral is "partial 16S ribosomal RNA". It matches the Rfam family "Bacterial small subunit ribosomal RNA", at positions 28 to 507 of the family's 1533-position model. The record is from RNAcentral.
GAUGAACGCUGGCGGCGUGCCUAAUACAUGCAAGUCGAGCGAACAGACGAGGAGCUUGCUCCUCUGACGUUAGCGGCGGACGGGUGAGUAACACGUGGAUAACCUACCUAUAAGACUGGGAUAACUUCGGGAAACCGGAGCUAAUACCGGAUAAUAUAUUGAACCGCAUGGUUCAAUAGUGAAAGACGGUUUUGCUGUCACUUAUAGAUGGAUCCGCGCCGCAUUAGCUAGUUGGUAAGGUAACGGCUUACCAAGGCAACGAUGCGUAGCCGACCUGAGAGGGUGAUCGGCCACACUGGAACUGAGACGCGGUCAAGACUCCUACGGGAGGCAGCAGUAGGGAAUCUUCCGCAAUGGGCGAAAGCCUGACGGAGCAACGCCGCGUGAGUGAUGAAGGUCUUCGGAUCGUAAAACUCUGUUAUUAGGGAAGAACAAAUGUGUAAGUAACUAUGCACGUCUUGACGGUACCUAAUCAGAAAGCCACGGCUAACUACGUG